GGCGGACGGGUGAGUAACGCGUAGGAAUCUGCCUCAGAGUGGGGGACAACUUAGGGAAACUUAAGCUAAUACCGCAUAUGCCCUACGGGGGAAAGCGGGGGAUCUCAUCUUCGGAUGGGACCUCGCGCUAUGAGAUGAGCCUGCGUGGGAUUAGCUAGUUGGUAGGGUAAAGGCCUACCAAGGCGACGAUCCCUAGCUGGUCUGAGAGGACGAUCAGCCACACUGGGACUGAGACACGGCCCAGACUCCUACGGGAGGCAGCAGUGGGGAAUAUUGGACAAUGGGCGAAAGCCUGAUCCAGCAAUACCGCGUGUGUGAAGAAGGCCUCAGGGUUGCAAAGCACUUUCAAUUGGGAGGAAAACCUACCGGUCAAUACCCGGUAGCUUGACAUUACCUUUAGAAGAAGCACCGGCUAACUCCGUGCCAGCAGCCGCGGUAAUACGGAGGGUGCGAGCGUUAAUCGGAAUUACUGGGCGUAAAGCGUGCGUAGGCGGUUCGUUAAGUCAGAUGUGAAAGCCCUGGGCUCAACCUGGGAACGGCAUUUGAAACUGGCGGACUAGAGUUUAGUAGAGGGGAGUGGAAUUUCAGGUGUAGCGGUGAAAUGCGUAGAUAUCUGAAGGAACACCAGUGGCGAAGGCGACUCCCUGGACUAGAACUGACGCUGAGGUACGAAAGCGUGGGUAGCAAACAGGAUUAGAUACCCUGGUAGUCCACGCUGUAAACGAUGUCGACUAGCCGUUGGUCCUAUUUACAGGAUUAGUGGCGCAGCUAACGCAUUAAGUCGACCGCCUGGGGAGUACGGCCGCAAGGUUAAAACUCAAAUGAAUUGACGGGGGCCCGCACAAGCGGUGGAGCAUGUGGUUUAAUUCGAUGCAACGCGAAGAACCUUACCUAC
This 895-nucleotide ribosomal RNA is filed under the name uncultured Methylobacter sp. RNAcentral describes it as "bacterial SSU rRNA". It matches the Rfam family "Bacterial small subunit ribosomal RNA", at positions 97 to 978 of the family's 1533-position model. Lineage: Bacteria; Pseudomonadati; Pseudomonadota; Gammaproteobacteria; Methylococcales; Methylococcaceae. The record is from RNAcentral.